GCAAGUUCGCACGGGCAGCAAUGUCAGUGGCGGACGGGUGAGUAACGCGUAGGAACGUGUCCAGAGGUGGGGGACAACCCCGGGAAACUGGGGCUAAUACCGCAUAGGGGCUGAGGCCCAAAGCCGAAAGGCGCCUUUGGAGCGGCCUGCGUCCGAUUAGGUAGUUGGUGGGGUAAAGGCCUACCAAGCCUGCGAUCGGUAGCUGGUCUGAGAGGACGACCAGCCACACUGGGACUGAGACACGGCCCAGACUCCUACGGGAGGCAGCAGUGGGGAAUAUUGGACAAUGGGCGAAAGCCUGAUCCAGCAAUGCCGCGUGGGUGAAGAAGGUCUUCGGAUCGUAAAGCCCUUUCGACGGGGACGAUGAUGACGGUACCCGUAGAAGAAGCCCCGGCUAACUUCGUGCCAGCAGCCGCGGUAAUACGAAGGGGGCUAGCGUUGCUCGGAAUUACUGGGCGUAAAGGGCGCGUAGGCGGCGGCCCAAGUCAGGCGUGAAAUUCCUGGGCUCAACCUGGGGACUGCGCUUGAUACUGGGUUGCUUGAGGAUGGAAGAGGCUCGUGGAAUUCCCAGUGUAGAGGUGAAAUUCGUAGAUAUUGGGAAGAACACCGGUGGCGAAGGCGGCGAGCUGGUCCAUUACUGACGCUGAGGCGCGACAGCGUGGGGAGCAAACAGGAUUAGAUAC
Molecule: ribosomal RNA, 683 nt
Filed under: Roseomonas mucosa
Lineage: Bacteria; Pseudomonadati; Pseudomonadota; Alphaproteobacteria; Acetobacterales; Roseomonadaceae
Description: bacterial SSU rRNA
Rfam family: Bacterial small subunit ribosomal RNA
Source: RNAcentral